RNAcentral lists this ribosomal RNA (301 nucleotides) under uncultured bacterium. RNAcentral describes it as "partial 16S ribosomal RNA". It matches the Rfam family "Bacterial small subunit ribosomal RNA", at positions 509 to 807 of the family's 1533-position model. The record is from RNAcentral.
CAGCAGCCACGGUAAUACGGAGGAUCCGAGCGUUAUCCGGAUUUAUUGGGUUUAAAGGGUGCGUAGGUGGCCUGUUAAGUCAGGGGUGAAAGACGGUAGCUCAACUAUCGCAGUGCCCUUGAUACUGACGGGCUUGAAUGGACUAGAGGUAGGCGGAAUGUGACAAGUAGCGGUGAAAUGCAUAGAUAUGUCACAGAACACCAAUUGCGAAGGCAGCUUACUAUGGUUUGAUUGACACUGAGGCACGAAAGCGUGGGGAUCAAACAGGAUUAGAUACCCCAGUAGUCCCUGUCUCUUAUAC